This 363-nucleotide small RNA is filed under the name Pongo abelii (Sumatran orangutan). RNAcentral describes it as "processed transcript". The record is from RNAcentral. Lineage: Eukaryota; Metazoa; Chordata; Mammalia; Primates; Hominidae.
GUGAAGCGAUUUGGGGACGAUCUUAAUCACAUCAGCUGUGUCAUCAAGGAACGGACAGUGGCUCAGAUAAAGGCCACUGUGAAACGCAAGGUAUAUGAAGAUUCUGGCAUCCCCCUUCCAGCUGAGUCACCCAAGAAAGGGCCCAAGAAGGUGGCAUCUGGUGUCUUGUCACCUCCUCCAGCUGCCCCUCCUCCCAGCAGCUCCAGUGUCCCUGAGGCCGGGGGUCCCCCCAUAAAGAAACAGAAGGCUGUGACCUGGUGGAUAUUGAAGGGCUAGGAGAAACUCCUCCAGCUAAGAAACUCAACUUCGACCAGGACAGCCUGACCCUGGAUUCUGGCCUUCUCAUGACCUCUGCUGAUCCUC